CCCAUGCCACCCAUUUCACACUCCAGAUCCUGUUAGGUAUCCAACUCUUCACCGUUCAUACAAAUAUCUACCUUAUAUAUACCUUUUUAGCUUCUCUUACACCUUUCGUAGUCUAUAUCUUAAGACAAAAAAUGAAGGUGAUUUUCGUUCCACUGUCGAUGAGGAAGAAUGAAGAUGAAGAAUUGGGAUCCAUUGCGGUGACCGACGAUGUAUAGGAGGAUCUAAAGCUCGCGAUCAAGGACCACAAGGCCAGAUUUCUGCUUCUUUUUUGCCUAUGCUUUUGUGGAUAUCAUGUAGAGAAUACAAAGACUGUGUUCUCUUCAUCAGAACUAACUAAUCAGUCGACAAAAAAAUAAACACUGAAAUGGAGUCGACCCUGAAGUACAGGAAUGUUAGAUUUUCGAAAUUUUGCCCCUACCAAAAAGAAAUUGAGAAAAUUUUGCUUAGGUGAUUACAGCCACUGGCAGUGACGAAGGCAGUUGCGGUCAAGGACAAGGUCUAGCUACCUUCUAUUUGGCCGCGAAAAGCCUCUGCACAAGGU
Molecule: long non-coding RNA, 541 nt
Organism: Olea europaea var. sylvestris
Lineage: Eukaryota; Viridiplantae; Streptophyta; Magnoliopsida; Lamiales; Oleaceae
Exons: 3
Source: RefSeq, a predicted model, not a curated record